RNAcentral lists this ribosomal RNA (807 nucleotides) under Paratylenchus tenuicaudatus. Its description in RNAcentral is "SSU rRNA". It matches the Rfam family "Eukaryotic small subunit ribosomal RNA", at positions 165 to 984 of the family's 1831-position model. The record is from RNAcentral. Lineage: Eukaryota; Metazoa; Nematoda; Chromadorea; Rhabditida; Tylenchulidae.
UAAUACAUGCACCGAAGUUGUUCCUCGCGGAGCAAUGCAUUUAUUUGAGCAAAACCAGGCGGCUUCGGCCGUUUCUGUUGAUUCAGAAUAACUAAGCUGAUCGCAUGGGCUUGUCCCGGCGACGUGUCUUUCAAGUGUCUGCCUUAUCAACUUUCGAUGGUAGUGUACGUGACUACCAUGGUGUUGACGGGUAACGGAGGAUAAGGGUUCGACUCCGGAGAAGGGGCCUGAGAAAUGGCCACUACGUCUAAGGAUGGCAGCAGGCGCGCAAAUUACCCACUCUCGGUUCGAGGAGGUAGUGACGAAAAAUAACAAGGCCGUUCUCUUUGAGGCCGGCCAUUGGAAUGGGUACAACUUAAACCCUUUAACGAGUAUCAAUGAGAGGGCAAGUCUGGUGCCAGCAGCCGCGGUAAUUCCAGCUCUCAAAAUGCAUAGAACCAUUGCUGCGGUUAAAAAGCUCGUAGUUGGAUCUGUGCCGGCGACGUGGUCCGCCCUAACCGGCGGUACUGCGCUCGUCGGCUUUGGGCCGGUCUUCGGUCGGUCGCCUUCACUGGCGGCCGCUCGUGGCUGGCUGGUUUACUUUGAGCAAAUCAGAGUGCUCAGCACAGGCGUCUCGCCGGAAUGUUCGUGCAUGGAAUAAUAGAAAAGGAUUUCGGUUCUCUUUUAUUGGUUUUGUGAACUGAGAUAAUGGUUAACAGAGACGGACGGGGGCAUUCGUAUUGCUGCGUGAGAGGUGAAAUUCUUGGACCGCAGCAGGACGGACUACAGCGAAAGCAUUUGCCAAGCACGUCUUCAUUAAUCAAGAAC